GUAACGGGAAGGAAGUCAGUGUCGGUGACUCUGCUAAGCUAGCGGCGUCACGUUACGUGCGUAUGACGUCAUGCGCCGUCGAUUAGGAAGCGGCUUAUACUUCCGGUUAGGAAAAAACCCGCCCGUGUUCUAUUUGAGAUGAUAUAGCUUUCUAAAAUUCAUACACUAGACGGUGGUGCAGAGUGCAGAGUGGUCACAGCUGAUCUGGAGCCUAUCCCUCAGGGCACAGUGCAGGGGACACCCUGGACAGGGUGCCAACCCAACGUAGGGCACACAAUCCCACACACAUUCACACACUACGGACAAUUUGGAAAGCCUACACAGGGAAAAUGGCCUGUUGAAGUGUGUGAGAAGCAGGUGCAGGACUUGGCCCCAGCAGCCCCAGCCUGUGGCCACGGCACGGAAUAAUAGCAGCAGUGUUUCUACACAGUGGAGCGCUGUCACAACCAGCCACUUGCAAAAAUACGACACGUUUUUCAUAGACGUGUGCGCCGGGAAGGAGAAGCUCAAAGAUGAGAACGGGUUUCCUUUUGAGUCUGGUUCCUCUCAAGGUUUCUCCCUCAUGCUGUCUCAUGGAGUGUUUGCUUGCCACUGUCACCUCUGGUACUUCAAAAAUCAUGCAUAGAUAGCAGCCAUAAGAACAGGACAAAACUGUGACAAAUGGCUUUGAAAAGCAGUUCUGACACAGUUGGGAAAGCCCUAAAACCUCCAAGCUAUAAAGGCCUAUGUAAGUCACAUGAAGGAGAAUAAUUUUUGAAUGGAUGGAGGACAGUCAUGAGUCAGUGUCCAUGAAUGAACAAUCUGAACAAUAAUAAUAAUAAUAACAUUGGGAGAGAUUUAGAAACGCCUUUAACAGCUGAGAGCCAGCUGGAAACGUCGACCCUAAAGGUGCAGAACGUCUCCGCUCCUAACGCAAAGCAGUAGUUCCACAGUGGAUUCUGGACUGCCAUAUGGACCGACGUAGCAUUUUUACCACCCCAUGACUACGAUCAGAAGAGGGAGCAAAUUACAUGCCUUAUCUGAUGUGGAAGGGACUGCCGGUCAACUUGAAGGACACCGAGCAGCUGUUUGUGUGCUUUGGGGAGUACCAUAAGCCGGCUUCGCUGUCUAAGGACUGGUUAGGCCACUGCCUAAAGGACGUGAUUACACAGGCAUACUCACAUUACCAAAAGGCCAGGUCCUCUGAGGAGUGCUAUGAGGAGAGCAGAAACACAUUUGAAAUAGAAGGCUCUGCGUGAUUUUUUUAUACGAGGCCCGGGGUACGGUUGUCAUGAAAUGACACCUUCAAUGUACUUCAGAAAUUGCUGCCUAUGGAAAUGAACACACAGGAAGCCUUCUGAAGGAAACCGCUAUGGUGGUUGUCCUAUUAGUCAUAGAACUAUGGUUACAUAUAUUACCUUCCAUUUCAAAGGAAGUGAUUGGUAAUUACUUAAAAAUGUAAGAUAUUUCGAUCAAUAUCAACUGUUCUACCAUGAAAACACGUGAUUAAAUGUAUAAUCCGUAUCGAGGUUUUUAUUUUUGUACUGAUUGUAUAUAGCUGUGGUAUGAAACGGUUAAUGACUCAACAGUGACGCAUAAUUUAUGUUUUCGAGAAUUCCUCCCUGCAGAUUUGCAAAUGAGAGAAUCACAGAGUAAUGCUUUCAUGGAGCUCUGAACUGUAAAUAGCACAUAUUUUCGCAAUAACUGACAAGGUGCUAGGACUAUUCAUUGUGUCAUUAAAUAUCAGACAUUAAUUGCAGCCUUGAUUUCAAAUGGCUUGAUUUGCACUCAUUAAUUGACAUAUUACUACACGUUGUUGAAUAAUUAGCCAGCUUCUUAUAUUAUGAAUAUAGUUUACCGUGCUAACAAAGACGAGGGUGCAUUUGCAUGUCCUGCACACACGCUUCUUCAUUCAACAUUUCCCCCUAUAACAUAACAUAAUAUGACCUUCGCAUCAUUCUAUACUGUAUAGUCAUGUGUAUUUUCUUAUCGACCUUCUUGAAGAUUGUAACACAAGGACUUAAUGAAAAGAACUCAUAUUACGCAUCCGUGAGGCAUUCUGGCAGCUGACAACAGAAGAUAUAUGCUAUUACGUGUGUACAUAUACAAUUGGUUCCUGAAGUAGGCAGGCGUUCCUCUGUAAGAGGAAUUUGAAAUGUGUGUCUUGGGAGGCUAACCGUUUGUUUGCAGUUCUUCUACGACACAGGCUAGAGGUGCGAAAAGGGGCUUAGCCUGCUGAAAAACCAUUUUGCUCCCAAUCUGGCAGACCGGGCCACAGGUAAAUUGAGUGUAUCUCUAGAGAGUUGAAACAGGCUUGUCAAAUGUCAGUUCAGAGAUGUUCACGAAGCCAAAGACCAUGUGAGCACGACCACAUGCUGUGAUGCAUACUCUUUAGUGGAUAGCACAAUCUCUCUGAACAGCUCUGGAAGAAUUGUCAGGAGGAUGGGGAUCUGGGGUGCAGUUCUGAGAAUUAGUUAUCAUAUUGAUGCUUUGAGUGCUGACAUUUCCCAGCUUAAACUAUCUACGCAUGGCUAAGUAUACGUUCCAGAGAGUCUUCUUUCACCUUCAAAUUCAGGGAUCCUGCUAUUAAGUUGUUUGUUCAGAUAUAUAUGACAAAGCCGGGUUAAUCUAGCUGAAAUAUAACUUUUCACGUUUGCGGAUAGUGCAUCUGGAAGGUUGAAUUUAACAUCGCUAUCUCUUUAUUCUAAAUUAACACUGGUUUUCGCAAAGCAUCCCUGGAGUGUCCCCUGACUUAAUUGCCAUUCAGAGCACAGCAGCCACAUAAUAAUAUAUGCAGACUGUGGAAAUAUAUGUAUUUCAGUAGGCAAAGUGAUUACAAAGUACAUGACUAAAGACGUAAUCAGUAAUGUCGUUUUAAAACGACAUAAAACAUCUUAUUUGACUUCUGGACCAUUAACUUAACUGACCUUUUUAUGUAAAAUAAUCUUUAACGAGGAAAAUAUGUUAACGGCUGCCUCUUUUAUUAUAUAUAUAUUUAAAAAAAGGCAAACAUAAAGUGCUUAAGUAUACGCUUUAAAUGAAGGUUCACUUACUUAGCAUUAUUUAUUGCAGAUAGCAUUAAGAAACCGGUUAACCAAUUGAAACUACGGACAUAACUUUACCAUAAAUAACCUACACAUAACAUGAAUAAAAACGUUAAACUUCUGCUGAUGAAAUAAGUUUGCAUAAUAAUGAAUUAAUGAACGCUUUCAUUACACAAUGAUCAAUUAAUUAAGGACUAAUAUAAAUGAUGAAUCUAAAUGAAAUGGCACAGACAGUACCUCUGAUUGUAAGGUACAUCACAGGUUUAUGUUAAUGCUCUUGUGCGAAUACUGUAUUGUUUUUAGAUUAACAACACACAGAGUCUUGCUGGUUGGUCCACAUAAACAGAUAACAAUGUGUAACAGGAGAUAUUUAUUUAGCACUUUUGGAGGGACUCCAGUGUCCGUGCUUUGUAUUAGUAAAUCUGUAAUGUUAAGCUAAAGUCAGAGGUCGGUAGUAAUGCGUUCACUUUUUUAUCUGCUGAGUUGAGAGGGGGGAGAAGCGAGAGUGAGCUCUAAACACACACACACACACACACACACACACACACACACACACACACACACACUUUCUCUUCUGUUCUGUUCCUUAGUCUGUUCUUUUGUUCUCUGUUGUCUUGUUUAAAUGCAGAUGCUGCCAAGUUUGUGUUGUUAACAUGUGAAAAUAAA
This is a long non-coding RNA of Ictalurus punctatus (channel catfish), 3689 nucleotides long. NCBI's taxonomy places the organism in Eukaryota, Metazoa, Chordata, Actinopteri, Siluriformes, Ictaluridae. The record is from Ensembl.